AAGGGAAGCAAAAUUGCGGAAUUGUUAUGCAGAAACCAUUCAUCUCGAGAGUGACGAGUUCGUUACCAUGAUUUUGGUGGAUUCUGUCUUUAUCAUUGAAUUAUUUCUGAGAGACUAUGACCCUAAUUUCAGAACCGAUGAUGAUCACAUAUUUGGGAAAUCGGGGUUAAGUCUCUUGGGCAUAGAAAUGAAUGAUGACUUGUACUUGCUGGAAAAUCAGCUUCCCUUAUUCAUUCUCAAUGAGUUGUUUGAUCUAGCCAAAACAGCAACUUACGGUGACAUUUACGAUGGAAUUUCCUUCAGGACUAUUACCCAUGCAUGGUUCAGAACUGAUCCCAUUCUUCCAAUAGAUCAUAUGAAAAUAGAAACUCACUUUUCAAAAGCUCAACAUUUUCUUGAUCUGCUCGUACUCUGUCUUCAGCCAUCCCCGCAGCCACGUGAAGACGGUGAAGUCGCUAAGCAAAAUAUUCCAGGGAUAAAGGAACUUCAUGAAGCUGGCGUCAGGUUCGAAUCAAGGUCAAGAGAAAAUCUACUUGACAUCACAUUCAAUAAUGGGAUUUUGGGAAUUCCAUUUUUCAAAGAAUAUUAUUUGACAGAGCGUUUAUACAGAAAUCUUAUAACUUUCGAGAUUAUGCAUGGCUAUCCCCGGUAUUUUAACGACUAUGUUGUGAUCAUGAGUUACCUUCUCCGCACUCCAAAAGAUGCCGAUUUGCUGAUUCAAAGUGGAAUUAUUGGGGGUACUAGUAGUGAAAGAUUGUCGACGACUCUCCAGAGCGUUAGUAAAAAUUCUCUGGUGGGUCAUUCUUUCAGUUAUGGUCAUGUCGCUAAAGAUCUGCAGGCCUAUUGCAAAUCGCCAUGGCACAGUUGGAAGGCAAACUUGAAGCAAAAUUAUUUCAACACUCCAUGGGCAUCUAUCUCCGUAAUUGCAGCUCUUAUUCUCAUUCUACUGACCGUCACACAAACCAUUUGUUCUAUCAUUGCAUUGUAGAUUAAUUUCUAUUAUUUUCAAUAUUUUUUCACUUGUAUUGCUGGUUUUCCUGCUGUCUAUCUUAUUAGUCAUAAAAUAAGCGAGAUUGAUUCAUCAGUCGUAGACAUUCUAAAAAAAACUGAACCCAAGCCGAAUUUGUUCAAAAUCAACCCCAACACAUUCGGUCUGGGAUGGAUUCAGUUUGGAUAGUUCGUAUUGAGUUUUUAUUGCACAACCCAAGUUUCUGCUAGGAUUUACAUAUAUCAUAUGCCCACUGACUCUGUGUACCUGAUUCUUUUAGUUAAUAAAGUUCCCAUGUCCUACACCUGCAAUGAGGUUCCAGGUUCCCUUGUACCAUAUAGAAAUUGACUAUUGAGAGGCAAUACAGAGAAAAUAAUUUUUCCUCUCUCUACACGUCACUCGCUUUUAAAUUGUGUGACUAGACUAAAAUGAAUAUAAUAAUUUGGCUGAUUUUGGCCUAUUCGAUGAUCUAGUUGCUAACGUGUUGCUUGGCGAAUGAAUGGAAGGGGAAACAAGAUUAUUCAAUUUUCCAAGAAAGCAACUUGUUUCAUUUGUAGUAUUAAAAAAGACUUCGGAGAAGUCAAACUCAUUAAAAAGUAAAAAAGAAUACAUACAAGUCAUGAUCAAUAUAAUAAUUUCUUUUGUAAGUAGAUGGAUUUAAUUCGGUCAUAAACUAUUCCUAACACUUGGUAACAUUUGAUAGACUGAAAAAUAGAAAAUAAAAAGGCACGCAUAUGUAGUAAAAUGACAAAUGUUAUAGUCUCUUGUAAAACUUAGAGAAAAUUAACUUAAGAAAUGAUAUAAACCUGCCCAACUUUGACCGGGUUAAGACAAACAAUCGACGAAAGGUCGAAAUAAUUCGCUUGACGAAGACCUCUUCAUCAUACCAACCCCGAGCUACAAGCUAUAGAAGUGACAGGUGCAGCUGCCCAACUUUGACCGAAGUUUCCACGAAAAGGAGUGACAGGUGCAGCUGAAGGCCCAACUUUGACCGGGUUAAGACAAACAAUCGACGAAAGGUCGAAAUAAUUCGCUUGACGAAGACCUCUUCAUCACGGGAUGAGUGUUUUGUGCAAUAAAUCUGUACGAUACUUAGAUAAUUUUUGUCGAAUGUUAUUAAGUAAGCCUUGAGCUUCUCGACUAGCUAAGCCUAGAGGUUUUUGAAGAGCUAGAAAGAAGAGAGCAAUGGAGCCGAAUAAAGAAAAAUUGUAUUACUCACAAGAGAGAUUACAAGAGAGCUUAUAAGGAUGCUUGAAUUGCUUGCUCUAAAGCUUGUUGCUCAAAUGCUAAAUGGCAUGCCCUAUUUAUAGGGGAGGCUUGCCAAGCUCUAGAGAUUCUAGAGAAUUCUACCAACUAUCUAAAUAAUUACAUGUGCUGGAAAUGUGUGGAGUAUUCUAGAUAUUUAAAAGCUCAAAUGUGCUAGAGUUGCCUAGAAAUUUCCACAAUCGGGCCAAGCUAGCACUUUUGGCCUUAUCUUGGGCUCUCUAGCCCGAAAUUAUGGGCAAUUGUGCUAGCAACUUGGGGUGGUCCGCAACAUCCUCCCCCACCUAAGCUCGCGGCGUCCUCGUCGCGUUCUCGUCCUUGAAAUUCUGGAUGUGCUCGGUGAAUUGCCACAAAUCAUCUUCGCGUUCCCAAGUGGCUUCGCUCUCGGGGAGGUUUUUCCAUUUCACCAAGUACUUGUCGUAUGGUGGCAUGCCUCUCCUCUGAACCACGCGGUCCGUAAUGAUGUAGUCCACAUCUUUGUCAAACGCGGUGACAAUGGCGGUUGGCGUACUCCUCGAUUCUCCACGACUUGGGUCUUCCACAUCUCUAUGAUAUGACUUGAGAAGGCUUACAUGGAAAACUUGAUGGAUCUUGAGUCUUGGCGGAAGUUAGAGUUGAUACGAGAUGUUGCCCACACGUUGUACAACUCGGAAGGGUCCCUCGUAGCGUCUCACUAACCCCUUGUGAACUUUCCGCAAAGUCUUGAAUUGUUGGGGUAGGAGCUUGAUCAUGACUUGAUCACCUUCCUUGUACUCAACAUGCUGUCUCCUUGUAUCUGCCUACUUUUUCAUCUUCCUCGCGGCUUUGUCAAGGUAGGCUCGCGUGAUGUCCGCUUCCUCGUGCCAUUCGCGGGCGAGCUUGUGUGCAGCGAGGCUUUUUCCUUCGUAAGUUGAGGCUAUGGCGUUGGGAGUCAUGGGCUGGAAUCCCAUGACGAUUUCGAAGGGACUCUUGCUCGUAGCCUCACUUCGCUGCAAGUUAUAAGAAAAUUGGGUGAUGUCGAGUAGCUUCGCUCAAUCCCGUUGAUGAGCGCUCACAUAAUGCCUCAAAUACAUCUCGAGGAGGCCAUUGAUGCGCUCGGUCUGCCCAUCCGUUUAUGGGUGGAAGCUUGUUGAGAACUUGAGAUCGAUUCUCAACAUCUUGAAGAGCUCCGUCCAAAAACGCCCAGUGAACCAUGGGUCUCGGUCGCUCACAAUACUCUUCGGAACUCCCCAAAGCUUCACGAUGUGCUUGACGAAGAUACGGGCUGCCUCGUCAACUUUGUAAUCGACUGGUGUGGCAAUAAAAGUUGCGUACUUGCUGUAACGGUCGACAACAACCAUGAUGCUGCUCCACCCUUCGGACUUAGGCAGUGACGUGAUGAAAUCCAUGGAGACACUUUCCCAUGAUCUUGUUAAGAGUGGUAGCGGCUCCAAUAAUCCCGCUGGGAGUUGGUGAUCUACCUUAUCUUGUUGGCACACAAGACAAGUUUGCACAUAUGCCUCGAUGUCAUCCCUCAUGUGUGGCAAAAAAUAAAAGGCUUGAACUAGAGUGGUGGUGUGCUCAAUUUCUGGGUGACCCACCCACUUGGAGUCGUAGCACUCUUUGAUGACUUCUUUCCACAAAUUUCCCAAUCUUGGCACGAACAACCAAUCUCCCUUGGUGAGGAGGAUGCCUUCCUCUUGCCAAAAUCGCCUUGUCUUGCCUUCGAGCACUUUCUCCAGCAAGUCCUUUGCUAGCAGAUCUUGUUGAAGACCUUCCUUGAUGCCUGAGACAAGGUCGGACUUUGGUUGGCUCAUGCUAAGUGUUGCCAAUUCGGCCUUGCGGCUUAGAGCGUUCGCAAUGACAUUGGCUUUUCCCAGUUUAUACUCGAGCCGAUAAUCGAAUUCCGCAAGGAAUUCUUGCCACCUUGCUUGCUUCGGACUCAACUUCUUUUGUGUUUGAAAGUAUCUUGUCGCUACGUUGUUAUGCAGAAACCAUUCAUCUUGAAGUGACGAGUUCGUUACCAUGAUUUUGGUGGAUUCUGUUUUUAUCAUUGAAUUAUUUCUGAGAGAUUAUUACCCUAAUUUCAAAACCGAUGAUGAUCACAUAUUUGGGAAAUCAUAGUUAAGUCUCUUAGGCAUAGAAAUGAACGAUGACUUGUACUUGCUGGAAAAUCAGCUUCCCUUAUUCAUUCUCAAUGAGUUGUUUGAUCUAGCCAAAACCGCAACUUAUCGCGACAUUUACGAGGAAAUUUCCUUCAAGACUAUUACCCA
RNAcentral lists this long non-coding RNA (4482 nucleotides) under Citrus maxima (pomelo). RNAcentral's name for it is "long non-coding RNA (CMAX_LNC000495)". The record is from RNAcentral. Lineage: Eukaryota; Viridiplantae; Streptophyta; Magnoliopsida; Sapindales; Rutaceae.